ACGGAAGGCAGCAGUGGGGAAUAUUGCACAAUGGGCGAAAGCCUGAUGCAGCGACGCCGCGUGAGUGAAGAAGUAUCUCGGUAUGUAAAGCUCUAUCAGCAGGGAAGAAAAUGACGGUACCUGACUAAGAAGCCCCGGCUAACUACGUGCCAGCAGCCGCGGUAAUACGUAGGGGGCAAGCGUUAUCCGGAUUUACUGGGUGUAAAGGGAGCGUAGACGGUUUGGCAAGUCUGAAGUGAAAUGCGGGGGCUCAACUACUGAACUGCUUUGGAAACUGUCGAACUAGAGUGCAGGAGAGGUAAGUGGAAUUCCUAGUGUAGCGGUGAAAUGCGUAGAUAUUAGGAGGAACACCAGUGGCGAAGGCGGCUUACUGGACUGUAACUGACGUUGAGGCUCGAAAGCGUGGGGAGCAAACAGGAUUAGAUACCCUGGUA
RNAcentral lists this ribosomal RNA (434 nucleotides) under uncultured Clostridium sp. RNAcentral describes it as "partial 16S ribosomal RNA". It matches the Rfam family "Bacterial small subunit ribosomal RNA", at positions 341 to 792 of the family's 1533-position model. RNAcentral also lists the same sequence under 1 other name. The record is from RNAcentral. Lineage: Bacteria; Bacillati; Bacillota; Clostridia; Eubacteriales; Clostridiaceae.